GGUGGGGCAGGGACCCGGGGCGGCCUGGAGCGCUGUCAGGAGGAGCUGCCUGGGCCGGGCGCGCGCCUGGCGCUAGGUGUGGGGGCGCCGUAGGUGCCGGGGUGUGAGGCUGGACGGGGCGUCCGGGAUCGGCCGUGCCGGGGGUCGGUGCUGGCGCGCGGGGCCGGCGAGGGGGCGCAGCGUGGGUCGGGGCUCGGCGCGGGAAGGGGAUGCCUCUUACCCGGCCCCGGCCUCACCUGAUCGUAGACGUCCACUACGGAACUACAGCAGGUGUUCUGCCAGCAUUCGACUUGAAUGCCUUCCCUGACAGGGCGCUCACUCCACACAGCUCUGGCCUGAGACAGGCGUCGCACAGAACUCCCUGUCCUUCCAUUUCAUUGGAACUCGGGGGACACGGCAGCUGCUUUUGUGGGAGGGCUGAUCCGAGCCGCAGCGAGGGGUGGGCUGGGCACAUGGCACAGUGAGGCUCCUCCCGCCCCCAGAGCCCCAGCCUCAGAAGGAAUCUGCCAGGUGAUGGGGCUACCCCUCUGCGCAUUCCUGUGGUGGACCCCACUCCCUCAGAUGAUGCGGACGGGAAAGAUGCGCGGAGCCGAAGAGCGCCCUCUCUGGGGGUCUGGAUUGGAGCACCCAGCACCUGAGCUGGGUGAGAGACCCCUUGGGCUCUGGGGGAGUCCGAGUUGGCCGGCGGGGCGGCCGCUAGGGAGGAGCAGGGUAUGCUCAGCUUGAACCUCACAGAGAGGCUCUGACAACUCUGGAGAGCUCUCAAGCCACGGGCUGAUGGACAAUCGUGACCCUGACAACAUCUGGCCGCCCCAGGAUGCCCAUACCCUCACCCCACCUCCACCCCCACGGCUCUUGCCCAGGCCUUGCCAGAGGCCCUCUGCCUCCCAGCUUGUUUGCCUGCUCACUUACUAGCAGCAAGAGUACCUACUAGGCUGGCUCGAUGGGCAGUUGUCUCUGUCUUGGGAAAGUAGGGGCUGUGCUGGGUUCAUUCACUGGCCUCCCUCAAGCCAGCUCAAGGGCCUGGAGACAGGAGUCCUUCUCCUGGAGUGCUGCCCUCUCACCAGCUCUUCUCUACCAGUGAGUGUUGGCCUGGCCUGGAACCGCUUCCCACUGCUCAGAGCAUGCACUAUACAUUACUGCGUGGCCAGCCAGAAGAUGCGAAGCUCAUGGUGACCUUGGCAGGCAGACAGGUGGCAUCAGGAUGGUCUGGGCCUGCAGGGCCACCCUGUCCCUUCAGGUGGCUUCAUGGAGAGCACCAAGAAGUGUGAUCUCAGCAUUCAUGUGUGACCUGACCCACAUCCUUCCUGGUGCCUGAGGAUGCGAGGAGGCUGCUAUGCUGGGGCUGAGCCCUGCCAGGCGUCCUGCUUGCAUCCCUGCAGCUGGGGCUGAGGCUGUCCUGCAGGGAGGGCUGGUGGGCCCUGAGGCAGAAUCCCACUGCCACUUCAGAAAGUAGAGAAGAAGCCAGGUGUGGUGGGGCCAGUGGCCAUCUGCCGGGACUUCAGGGAGACCAGACACACAGGAAGAGGCACUUUCUCCAGACACCUCCUUUAGGGGCAGGGCACAAGGCCUGGAACAAGGCUGCCUCUGACCAGAGCAACAGAGCCUGCUCUGAGGAUGGCAGAGCCUAGAGCAGGCAAGCUGUCAAGAUUCUGGGUUGAGGGUCACAGGACAGGAGGCUGGACUCCCGCUGAUAUGAUUUGGGUUUGUGUCCCCACCCAAAUCUCAUGUUCAAUUGUAAUCCCCAGUGUUGGAGGUUGGAGGCGAUUGGAUCAUGGGG
Molecule: long non-coding RNA, 1780 nt
Filed under: Homo sapiens (human)
Lineage: Eukaryota; Metazoa; Chordata; Mammalia; Primates; Hominidae
Description: HSALNT0357498
Source: RNAcentral